This is a long non-coding RNA of Strongylocentrotus purpuratus (purple sea urchin), 437 nucleotides long. RefSeq lists it as uncharacterized. The record is from RefSeq and is a predicted model, not a curated record. NCBI's taxonomy places the organism in Eukaryota, Metazoa, Echinodermata, Echinoidea, Camarodonta, Strongylocentrotidae. The transcript is spliced from 3 exons.
ACACCACGACCUAGAUAUUUACAUGGACCACUUCUCCGAAAUUUGGAUAGUAGCUAUCAUCACAUGGGCAUUCAUUGGAAAACGUGUAAUUUGCACACCAUAUAUUCCUGUGUCAACUCCGAAGAAUGAUGAACACGUGUUGUUUGUCCACGUAAGAGAUGCAAACAUUGGAAAGGGAGAGGUACAGCCUGGAUACAUGGCUCCGAUCACGGGAGAGCAAUUCUUUUUGAGGUGGCGUUCUGGAGGAUUAAAGAUAACUUGCCUAGAAAGCACCUUGAAAGACGAGUCCAUGACUCUACAGGAAAGUGAGAUUUGCCAUCUGACAGAGCAAAAAGUGAUGUUCACAGUGGAUACACGAACCACUGACAAGAAUAAAGUAAUAUUACAUUUCAUCUUGGAACAAAGCACAACAAAGCAGCUUCUGGUUCCCAUGCACU